Molecule: ribosomal RNA, 253 nt
Filed under: uncultured bacterium
Lineage: Bacteria
Description: partial 16S ribosomal RNA
Rfam family: Bacterial small subunit ribosomal RNA
Source: RNAcentral
UACGUAGGGUGCAAGCGUUGUCCGGAAUUAUUGGGCGUAAAGGGCUCGUAGGCGGUCCAUCACGUCGGGAGUGAAAAGCUGGGGCUUAACCCCAGUCCUGCUUCCGAUACGGGUGGACUAGAGGUAGGCAGGGGAGAAUGGAAUUCCCGGUGUAGCGGUGAAAUGCGCAGAUAUCGGGAGGAACACCGGUGGCGAAGGCGGUUCUCUGGGCCUUACCUGACGCUGAGGAGCGAAAGCGUGGGGAGCGAACAGG